AGUGCUACAGUGUUGCAGGAAAGUGAAAAUAUCUUCAAGCGACAGUUGAAGUCGUCCAUGUACUGGUUGGUACUGAUUAAACAGCCAGCUAGAUAGUGCCAACAAGAUCAGAGAGUACUUGUUAGAUCGAGAGACCGACUUGUCUUCACAUAAAAUCAACUUUAAAAAGGACAGCCAGUAUAAUGUUUUAUUCAAAUGCAUGGACUAAGUGCUUGAUAUGCCUUAUCUUUUUAACAAGUGGAAAUGCCAAGUGUCCCAAACCUCAAGUAGAGGGAAAUGUUGUUCUCACGAAUGAUGCGCUAUUAAUGAACGAUUUUCCCGAGGGGGGGGAAGCCACUUUUGAGUGUGCCAACGGCUACUUGAAAGAGCAAGGAUCUGAAAGAAUCACCUGCACGAGUGGAGAGUGGAGCACGCUCAAAUUAACCUGCAAAAAGAAGGACUGUGGUGCCCCCAGGAAGAUGCCACAUUUGACAUAUGAGUUUAAGGAAGGCACGCUUUUUGGUGCAUCAGCAAGAGCAAUCUGUGAUAAAGGUUAUCAACUUCUGGGCCCAAGUUACAGGCAGUGUUAUGCCAUAGGUUGGAGUGGAAGACCAAGAUGUAAAGUGGUAACUUGUGAUAAACCUCCUGAGAUAAUGAAUGGCACGAUUAUAGAGAAGCCUGGCGAAGAGUUACCAGAGUAUGGUGGUGUCAUACAGUACUCCUGUAAUGAAGGUUACACCCUCAUUGGAAACAAAUCAAUUGAGUGCAUUGAAGAUGGUGAAUACAACUCAUUACCUCCUGAAUGUAAAGAUGUCAAUGACAUUCUUUUGAAACCAACAACUAUAUCAACAUCAUCAAUAACAACAACAUCGACUGUUCCACCCACAAUACAAGAUGUCAAUGACAUUCUUUUGAAACCAACAACAAUAUCAACAUCAUCAACAACAACAACAACAUCGACUGUUCCACCCACAAUACGAGGUAGCGGAAAAUCCAAAUGUCAAUGACAUUCUUUUGAAACCAACAACUAUAUCAACAUCAUCAAUAACAACAACAUCGACUGUUCCACCCAUUAUACGAGGUAGAGGAAAUCCAAGUCAAUCUAUCCCAGUAUAAUCAAGUGCUUGUUUAUUCAUUUAAUUUGAAAUUUGCCGUUUCAGGGAGGAAUAAUGGUGUUGGGGAACAUGACACCAAUGCAGCUACUGUUGUGGGAAGUGGGAUCGGCACUGUCAUAAUUUCACUUAUUGUUAUUGUGCUGAUCACACGGUGUUGUAAGAGGAAAGGCUCGUACCAGUUUGGAGAAGACCGAAGUCGAACAGAGGAAUUAUUACAAUUUCAAAAUAACUAAGUUGAAUGCCUACCCAAGGGCUAGGACUGCACCUAUCUGCUAGUCUGCAUCUGUAGCCUUGAAAAGUAGUGCCAGCGGAUUGUUCCUCUUUUAUUAAGUUGUUUCUGAAAGUCAGUUCAGCAGAAAUGUUUUAACCCAAUGUUUGAAAACCGGUAUUGAAAUAUAUUUUUUCUCUAUUUAUAUACAAUACUGAAAUAUACGUAAUUGUCUUUUCAACUGCCAUAUUUGACUACAGGUUGCUAGCUUGCUCUGUUGUGUGGGCAGAAGCCCCUGUAAUGAGAUUAGUGCACUAAACAAAAUGUAUGAUUGAGGAAAUUCCCAGGCUGAUAAUCACUGACCAUUUCUAAAUGUGUGCUUACUGAUCGUGGCUCACAGGAAAAUAACAGUAUGAGACAGUUUCCUGGACCCAGGUUAAGCCUACAGCACUGUAUUCCUUUUCAAGUAGGCUUAAUCUGGGUCCAGGAAACCAGCUCUUCAUGUUAUUUUCCUGCAGCCCCAAAUGUCACAAAAUAACGUCAAUCUUAUUUACUUAGAGGUUUUGUACUUAGAUUUUAUAGUGUGUAUUGUGUGAUUUAAGAGAUCAAAUAAUUUUCAUGAUAACAGCUUUUUCUCAUUCUUUGAGACACGUGUAAAUAUGUGUAACGAUUGUCGUCGGGAGAAAGAGAGGUUCAUAAUUGUAAUUAAAGAAAGCACUGAACACUGAA
Oncorhynchus kisutch (coho salmon) is the source of this 2031-nucleotide RNA transcript. It is a transcript of the gene named complement decay-accelerating factor, with no coding region annotated. NCBI's taxonomy places the organism in Eukaryota, Metazoa, Chordata, Actinopteri, Salmoniformes, Salmonidae. The record is from RefSeq and is a predicted model, not a curated record. The transcript has 12 exons.